AUUGAACGCUGGCGGCAUGCCUUACACAUGUAAGUCGAACGGCAGCGCGGGAACAAUCCUGGCGGCGAGUGGCGAACGGGUGAGUAAUACAUCGGAACGUGCCCAAUCGUGGGGGAUAACGCAGCGAAAGCUGUGCUAAUACCGCAUACGAUCUACGGAUGAAAGCAGGGGAUCGCAAGACCUUGCGCGAAUGGAGCGGCCGAUGGCAGAUUAGGUAGUUGGUGAGGUAAAGGCUCACCAAGCCUUCGAUCUGUAGCUGGUCUGAGAGGACGACCAGCCACACUGGGACUGAGACACGGCCCAGACUCCUACGGGAGGCAGCAGUGGGGAAUUUUGGACAAUGGGCGAAAGCCUGAUCCAGCCAUGCCGCGUGCAGGAUGAAGGCCUUCGGGUUGUAAACUGCUUUUGUACGGAACGAAACGGUCUUUUCUAAUAAAGAAGGCUAAUGACGGUACCGUAAGAAUAAGCACCGGCUAACUACGUG
Molecule: ribosomal RNA, 484 nt
Filed under: uncultured bacterium
Lineage: Bacteria
Description: partial 16S ribosomal RNA
Rfam family: Bacterial small subunit ribosomal RNA
Source: RNAcentral